This is a long non-coding RNA of Lolium rigidum, 1121 nucleotides long. RefSeq lists it as uncharacterized. NCBI's taxonomy places the organism in Eukaryota, Viridiplantae, Streptophyta, Magnoliopsida, Poales, Poaceae. The record is from RefSeq and is a predicted model, not a curated record. The transcript is spliced from 2 exons.
UUGAGCCUCAGUGAUUUUGUAUUAUCAGGUCAUAUGUCAUAUGCUCCUUUUUACUGAAGUUGGAGAAGUGCAGUUUUCAGGUAAGAUGUGUUGCUGAAUACACUGUUGUUAUAUUGCAGUAAUAAAUAUAUGAAGAUACAUAUUAUUGUGCUGAUUUAGAUAACGGUGGCACUGUCAUAACUAUGCUUCCUCGCGCACUUGCUAGGACAUAUACACAGUUUUAAUGUGCGAAUCCUAGCGUCUCUUUUCACUAAAAUCCUCUUGGUUUCGUGUAUUGUGUACUAGAAAGCAUAGUCCCAAUUUAGUACAGGUUUCUAACUUAGUCCCAUGGAUUCAGUACUGUCUAUACCAUGCUGAUGUUACCACAUAGUUCCCAGUUUACCAUACGAGGUAACCUAACUUGAUGUUCUUAUUUUUGUGUGCAGAGAAUGCAUGUUGCAGAUUAGAUUACAGAUUAGAAAGUGCCGUCCUCUUUUAGGCCAGCGGCGAUUGACAAAAUCUUUCUUCAAUUGUUAUAUUCUCUAAAAUUGGAGCAGGUCGCUUUCUUAGACCAGUGCAGUCACUUAGUAGUCACUUACACAACGACCACUUGAAAUAUCUCUCCUUUUCGUUUUCAAGAUCAUGAUUUAUUGUAUGAUUAUUUUUUAGUGUUGGUAAACUACAUUCAUUUCAUGGUAACAUAUGUCGGUGUUGUUGCAGGUCCUGUGUUUUUUACCCACCGGUGUUUCAGUCUUCGUUAUUUCACAGAUAUGCUUAUUCUUACAUGGAUGUUGGUGCAUCAUCUUGGAAGAGUUUCAAGAAAAGUAACCCCCAUCUGCAUUGGGAUCUUCCGAUCUAAAGCUUCUUUCAAGUGUAUGCUUAUUCUGAACAAUUUACUUCCUUGAAUCCUCUUCAAAGGUUUUAUGCAAAGUGCAAUUAGCUUAGGCCGCACAAGGACUAUAUAUGUACCUGUAGAAGUGUAGAUGUGGUCUUAUUUUUGGAAGUUCAUAUGUAGUUUUCAUUUGCUCGGCUGAGAGAAAUGGCAUGUUGACAGAAGAAACUAAGCAGCCUCAUGUUUUGUAUAAAAUAGUACAAGAAUAUCUUUUGCAAUGUAAAACAGUAGGUCACCGAACCAUUGUGCA